RNAcentral lists this transfer RNA (85 nucleotides) under Bacteroidales bacterium. Its description in RNAcentral is "tRNA-Leu". It matches the Rfam family "tRNA". Rfam says of the family: Transfer RNA (tRNA) molecules are approximately 80 nucleotides in length. The record is from RNAcentral. Lineage: Bacteria; Pseudomonadati; Bacteroidota; Bacteroidia; Bacteroidales.
GCGGAUGUGGCGUAAUUGGUAGCCGCGCUAGACUUAGGAUCUAGUGUUGAAAGACGUGAGAGUUCGAGUCUCUCCAUCCGUACCA